GAUGAAGAACGGAGCGAAAUGCGAUACGUAAUGUGAAUUGCAGAAUUCAGUGAAUCAUCGAAUCUUUGAACGCAUAUUGCGCUCUCUGGUAUUCCGGAGAGCAUGCUUGUUUGAGUAUCAGUAAACACCUCAACUUCCAUAUCUUUUUUUGAAAUGGGAGUUGGACUUGAGUGAUCCCAACGCUUUUCCUCACCGAAAAGUGGCGGGUUACUUGAAAUGCAGGUGCAGCUGGACUUUUCUCUGAGCUAUAAGCAUAUCUAUUUAGUCUGCCUAAAAAACAGAUUAUUACCUUUGCUGCAGCUAACAUAAAGGAGAUUAGUUCUUGUGCUGACUGAUGCAGGAUUCACAAAGACAGCUUCGGCCGACUUUGUAAACUCGAUCUCAAAUCAAGUAAGACUACCCGCUGAACUUAAGCAUAUCAAUAAGCGGAGGA
Molecule: unclassified non-coding RNA, 433 nt
Filed under: soil metagenome
Description: partial contains 5.8S ribosomal RNA, internal transcribed spacer 2, and large subunit ribosomal RNA
Rfam family: 5.8S ribosomal RNA (bases 1-120)
Source: RNAcentral